GACGAACGCUGGCGGCGUGCCUAAUACAUGCAAGUUGAGCGAUGAAGAUUGGUGCUUGCACCAAUUUGAAGAGCAGCGAACGGGUGAGUAACGCGUGGGGAAUCUGCCUUUGAGCGGGGGACAACAUUUGGAAACGAAUGCUAAUACCGCAUAACAACUUUAAACAUAAGUUUUAAGUUUGAAAGGUGCAAUUGCAUCACUCAAAGAUGAUCCCGCGUUGUAUUAGCUAGUUGGUGAGGUAAAGGCUCACCAAGGCGAUGAUACAUAGCCGACCUGAGAGGGUGAUCGGCCACAUUGGGACUGAGACACGGCCCAAACUCCUACGGGAGGCAGCAGUAGGGAAUCUUCGGCAAUGGACGAAAGUCUGACCGAGCAACGCCGCGUGAGUGAAGAAGGUUUUCGGAUCGUAAAACUCUGUUGGUAGAGAAGAACGUUGGUGAGAGUGGAAAGCUCAUCAAGUGACGUUAACUACCCAGAAAGGGACGGCUAACUACGUG
Molecule: ribosomal RNA, 497 nt
Filed under: uncultured bacterium
Lineage: Bacteria
Description: partial 16S ribosomal RNA
Rfam family: Bacterial small subunit ribosomal RNA
Source: RNAcentral